Molecule: long non-coding RNA, 1810 nt
Organism: Aquila chrysaetos chrysaetos
Lineage: Eukaryota; Metazoa; Chordata; Aves; Accipitriformes; Accipitridae
Exons: 3
Source: RefSeq, a predicted model, not a curated record
GGGGAAGGUCCGGGCAGGGGGAGAGGCGCGAAAGCCCGCGGCGGAGCCCUGCGCACUGAGGUGAAGUGGGGCGAGGCGGGGCGGGCGCUGGCUGAGGCGGCCGGGGCAGCCCCGCGAAGCGAGGGGAGCGAGUCACCCUGCCCGACACAGGCCGAGAGACGGGCCGGUCGCCCUAAGAAGGGCGCACGUUAGCGCUCCUUACAGCGAGUGAGGCUAUCGCAAAGAAUCGGGCAAUUACAUUUUUAGAAAUGGUUUUGUUUAACAGCGUGCGUGCUGACAGGAGCACCCUGUGUGUUGCUGGCACAUCUCACAGCUGCAGCAUCAACCAGAUUAACCUGCGCUCAGGAAAAAAAUGUAUUAAGCUGCACUGAUUUUAUUUGGUGAAAUUUGACAGUGAUAUCAGUGGCAACGAUGACUGAGGAUACAAGAGAAGCUGGAAUCUGAUACUGUGGCUUGCUAUGGUGAAGGGCUGAACUCAUGUAUUACACCUGAAGAGUGAUAUUCUGCUGUUGUAUUUCAUGGUCAAAAUUAGCUCCUAUAAAGCUAUUGCCUAUAAAGUGGACAUACGAUAAUUACUUUGUUUUUUAAAAGUGUUUAUUUCAAGCUACUUUGCUGUUAAUUUUGUGUUGCUCUUAUUGUUAAAAGUGCAAGAAGAAAGGAGAAAUCCUUCAGCCUCUGGCAGAAUAACCUUGAACUGGUUAAGAGAACGUAGAUGCACCUCUACUUGCACAACAUACUACAAAUGCAGUGAAGUAGCAUCUGUAUUUACAAAUGCAUAGCAAAACAUUGCAUACUUCAAACAUAUGCGAGAAUCAUGACCAAACCUCCUAAAGAUGAGGCUGGAAGUAUUAUGAAGCAUUCUUCCAAAUGUCUUCUGGUAAUAAUAUUUGGUUGCACAAUUCAGGUCUCUGUGUUCAUUGGAUUCGGGUACAGUCUGAACAUUUUUACAUCAAAACCGUCUCCUGAAAUGCGCAUCUUUGUGAUGACACUAAAAAACAGUCUAACCAUUCUUCAGUGGAGAUGAUAGAUUAAAUUACGUUCAUGAAGGUUGUCAAUGAUUGUAGUUCCUAAUCUUUAGUGCCUGAUUGCUGUAACAAAAUCUGUAGUCUAAAAUGAAAUACAGAGGAUCUGUAUACCAUAAGAGAGGGAGUACCUCAGAUCUAUGACAGGUGAUGUGUUAAAUGAGAAGUGAUGUUAGGUCAUCACUGUGAAAUGCUGAGGACCAGGUUAGUCUUAAAAUUCUAGGGAUUUGUUACCUUAACCCAGAUUGAAGGUGGUAAAUUUUCCUGAACAAUCCGUUUGAAUGAGGUAUCAGAGAUCUUUCAGGAAAUGGGUAGGGUGAAUACUUUAUUUCAGAAGACAUCUGGAAGUGGUUGUGCUGUUGAACUGCUUUAUUGCUCUGUGCUCAGAGUUGUCAUUCUAAAUGUGGAAACUUGGGCUGAAUGCCGCUCCCCCCCCCUUUUUUUUUUCAGGGCUUUACACCCAACUAUCUGAAAAGGGAGACACAGUUUCUAGUAUCAAUUCCAGGUAAUGUUCUCUCGGGAGAAUGAGCUGAAAUGGGUAGCACAUGUGCUACACACAGUAUGUCAAUUCUUGCAAAAACAAAGUCCAUGAAGUGGUAUGAGGUGAAUGCACACCUUAAUUUGCAGCUCUGGCCUAUCAGGAGCUCGAAACCUUUAUUUUAAUUGCCCACAUCUCCUGCAGUUGGUGCCAAACCUCACUGCCCCUCAUCUCCUUCCACAAGCAUUCCUCCACACUGUGCAGCUGGGGAACCAGUUUGGGCUUUUGCUGUCCCUAGCUGCAGAAUUCU